GUCGGGCUCUGGGAGAGAGCGAGAGAGAAAUCCGGUUAAAAUCAGAGUCGGAGGGAGGUUUAACCAUAGAUCGGUUCCGAUCGGAUUAUUCCUUAAAGGGGACGCGCCAUUGUCAAGAGAACGGAGCCAGGGGCCCGAGGGCGGGGACCGGCGGCGCUGGAGGAGCGAGGCAGCUGUACUAGGACUGGGGACGGAGCUGAAGCCAUUUAUUGUUAUCUUGGAUGGUUAACAUCUAAAUGCUUAAUUCCUGAAACCACUCAAGAGUCAUAGGAUUAGAUGAUCCAAGUUACCACCAAGAAAUUACUGUCUCAAGUGAUACGAUCCUUGAGGAAUUGCCAUACUGUCUUCCACAAUGGUUGAACUAAUUUACACUCCCACCAACAGUGUAAAAGCAUUCCUGUUUCUCCACAUCCUCUCCAGCAUCUGUUGUUUCCUUACUUUUUAAUGAUUGCCAUUCUAACUGGUGUGAGAUGAUAUCUCAUUGUGAAGUCACAGAUAUUUUUUACUUUUGUUCAUGUUCCAAAGCCUUUACCUUCUACUUUUUCUUUUGUAGGUAAUCAUCAAAAUUUUUAUUAUUAGCCAAUAUGGUGUAUAAAUAAUAAUUAUUGUAAUACUAAGCAAUUGUAUGUUAUGUAAAAAUUUCUGUUAUAUAAAUCUAUGCAUAAAUAUAUGCAUAUAAUAUGUGUGUACAUAU
RNAcentral lists this small RNA (694 nucleotides) under Pongo abelii (Sumatran orangutan). RNAcentral describes it as "processed transcript". Lineage: Eukaryota; Metazoa; Chordata; Mammalia; Primates; Hominidae. The record is from RNAcentral.